GCUGCUCCUUCCCGCCGCGUUCAGGCUUCGCUCCGCCUCAGUUUCUUUGGGGAAGAAGGGUCUGCUGUUGUGGGAAGGGGACCGAGGGAAGCACAUCCUAUUUCAUACGUGCUCUAGAUGAGACAUCAGCUAGACCUUCCCCAUUGUGAAAGGGGGGCGGGGGUAGUGUCUCCUCGCCCUCGGUUCAGCCAGCCUGCCCGGAGGGUGAUGGAACUGGUGACUUCAAAGCGAAACCGGCAGCUUCCGCCACCGCUGGGUGUGAGGCACCUGGUGUGACCUCUGGCUGAGGCUGCUGGAGUGAGAGCGACGGCGAGGGGCUGGUGCUGGGUGUGCUGUGAGGGUGCUGAGGACGCGGGCUGGAGCCGACCAUCCUGAAUUAGGGAGCCGGGGGACUUGCCGCAAGAGGUCACACAGCCAACGAGAGACUCACACCCGUGCCAGUCCCCAAAGGCCCAAACUCCGUUCUGUCUGAUGAGCCAAGCUGAUUUGUCGGGAUCGUGGAGGAGGGGCUAAGGAGGAGGUGAAUGGCAGAGAGAAGAGUGAGGGUUACCCCUCUUUGACCUUCCUCCUCUGAAGGCAGAGGCUGAGCCUGCAGGCUGAACAAGAUCCGUAGGCACCGCCAGGGGGAGACAGAGGCCAGGCUAAGCGCUUGCUUGUAAGGGAAAAGUAGUGCUGAGUCCAAAGAGACCUGUUCCUAAGGCAGCUAUCAGGGAAUUGAUCAGUACAUCUCCAGAGACACCUCCUACCCCAGGCACUGUCCAAAUGGGGACAAGGCCCUGUGGCCCUAAUGCAAGUCAGGGUAGCCCUCAGGAAUCACUGGCACCGAGUUCAUGGUUGGGACUCCAUCUCUGGGCUCUGUGGGCAGAAUGCUCCCUGAACAUAACCCUCUCUGUUCCUGAGCUAAAAUGUGCCCCCAGAAGGGGUGGCUUUCCUCGCCGCUUCCAAAUAAAAAUCUCACACUGGUCA
Non-coding RNA from Leptonychotes weddellii (Weddell seal), 966 nucleotides. The record is from RefSeq and is a predicted model, not a curated record. Lineage: Eukaryota; Metazoa; Chordata; Mammalia; Carnivora; Phocidae.